CACGUAGGCGGCUUGGCAAGUCGGAUGUGAAAUCCCUCGGCUCAACCAAGGAAGUGCAUCCGAAACUGCUGAGCUUGAGUACUUAAGAGGAUCGCGGAAUUCCCGGUGUAGAGGUGAAAUUCGUAGAUAUCGGGAGGAACACCAGUGGCGAAGGCGACUUACUGGACUGUAACUGACACUGAAGUACGAAAGCGUGGGGAGCAAACA
Molecule: ribosomal RNA, 207 nt
Filed under: uncultured bacterium
Lineage: Bacteria
Description: partial 16S ribosomal RNA
Rfam family: Bacterial small subunit ribosomal RNA
Source: RNAcentral